This 410-nucleotide ribosomal RNA is filed under the name uncultured bacterium. Its description in RNAcentral is "bacterial SSU rRNA". It matches the Rfam family "Bacterial small subunit ribosomal RNA", at positions 335 to 731 of the family's 1533-position model. The record is from RNAcentral.
ACUCCUACGGGAGGCAGCAGUGGGGAAUAUUGCACAAUGGGGGAAACCCUGAUGCAGCCAUGCCGCGUGUGUGAAGAAGGCCUUCGGGUUGUAAAGCACUUUCAGUCGGUGAGGAAGGUUGUAGUUAAUACCUGCAAUUCUUGUGACUGUUAGCCGACAUGAAGAAAGACACCGGCUAACUCCGUGCCAGCAGCCGCGGUAAUACGGAGGGUGCGAGCGUUAAUCGGAAUUACUGGGCGUAAAGCGCAUGCAGGCGGCCUGUUAAGUCAGAUGUGAAAGCCCGGGGCUUAACCUCGGAAUUGCAUUUGAAACUGGCAGGCUAGAGUCUUGUAGAGGGGGGUAGAAUUUCAGGUGUAGCGGUGAAAUGCGUAGAGAUCUGAAGGAAUACCAGUGGCGAAGGCGGCCCCCCU